UGCGCCUUGCCAGCCCGCUCAGAAACUUAAAGGAAAUUGACGGGGGCCCGGCACAAGCGGCGGAGCAUGUGGAUUAAUUCGAUGCAACGCGAAGAACCUUACCUGGGUUUGACAUACACCGGAAAACCGUAGAGAUACGGUCCCCCUUGUGGUCGGUGUACAGGUGGUGCAUGGCUGUCGUCAGCUCGUGUCGUGAGAUGUUGGGUUAAGUCCCGCAACGAGCGCAACCCUUGUCUUAUGUUGCCAGCACGUAAUGGUGGGGACUCGUAAGAGACUGCCGGGGUCAACUCGGAGGAAGGUGGGGACGACGUCAAGUCAUCAUGCCCCUUAUGUCCAGGGCUUCACACAUGCUACAAUGGCCAGUACAGAGGGCUGCGAGACCGUGAGGUGGAGCGAAUCCCUUAAAGCUGGUCUCAGUUCGGAUCGGGGUCUGCAACUCGACCCCGUGAAGUCGGAGUCGCUAGUAAUCGCAGAUCAGCAACGCUGCGGUGAAUACGUUCCCGGGCCUU
This 509-nucleotide ribosomal RNA is filed under the name uncultured Rhodococcus sp. RNAcentral describes it as "bacterial SSU rRNA". It matches the Rfam family "Bacterial small subunit ribosomal RNA", at positions 903 to 1382 of the family's 1533-position model. Lineage: Bacteria; Bacillati; Actinomycetota; Actinomycetes; Mycobacteriales; Nocardiaceae. The record is from RNAcentral.